This 465-nucleotide ribosomal RNA is filed under the name uncultured bacterium. RNAcentral describes it as "partial 16S ribosomal RNA". It matches the Rfam family "Bacterial small subunit ribosomal RNA", at positions 339 to 795 of the family's 1533-position model. The record is from RNAcentral.
CUACGGGGUGCAGCAGUGAGGAAUUUUGCGCAAUGGGGGGAACCCUGACGCAGCAACGCCGCGUGAGUGAUGAAGGCUUUCGGGUCGUAAAGCUCUGUCAAGUGGGAAGAACCUAUGCAGUGUUAAUAUCACUGUAUACUGACGGUACCACUGAAGGAAGCACCGGCUAACUCCGUGCCAGCAGCCGCGGUAAUACGGGGGGUGCAAGCGUUAUUCGGAAUCAUUGGGCGUAAAGGGCACGUAGGCGGCUUGGUAAGUCAGAGGUGAAAGCCCGGGGCUUAACCCCGGAAGUGCAUUUGAUACUGUCAGGCUUGAGUAUGGGAGAGGGAAGUGGAAUUCCUGGUGUAGAGGUGAAAUUCGUAGAUAUCAGGAGGAACACCGGUGGCGAAGGCGACUUCCUGGACCAAUACUGACGCUGAGGUGCGAAGGCGUGGGUAGCAAACAGGAUUAGAUACCCGUGUAGUC